AAGUUUAUGGCAUAGGGGACACCGUGAUCAAGAAGGCGGUUCCCCCAGGGCGAGACUCUUCCAUUGCACUGAGGUUGGGUUGACCCUUGCGAUUAUCCCUAAUGUGGAUAACUCGGAUGCGUAAUUUUUGGUAUUAUUGUAUCUUGUAUCUAAUGUCAGUU
This is a small nuclear RNA of Cydia strobilella, 161 nucleotides long. RefSeq annotates it as U1 spliceosomal RNA. The record is from RefSeq and is a predicted model, not a curated record. Lineage: Eukaryota; Metazoa; Arthropoda; Insecta; Lepidoptera; Tortricidae. The transcript has a single exon.